GAACAGUAAGUUUUGGGAGUUGAUUUUGAGUCCAUCUCCUACCCUGAAAGGUCCCAAGUGAUUAUUUUCAAUGAAAGAGACCCAUCUCAGGAGCUCGAUGAAGCAGACAGCAUGUGCCGCCAAUUCAAGCAAUCACGACUAAACCACAAGUGUGCCGCCCGUAAAUCCAGUGUUGAUGACUGCCUGUGUGUUUUGCCAAGAGAAAGACUGAAGUCACACACACACACACACACAGCACAUACUGUGUGUGAAGACCUUGACCCUGCUGUUGGACAGGAAGAGCUGUAGUGAUUAUGAUCGCUGUCCCUGUCUAUGAGCUUUCUGGCUGAAGCUCUGCUGAUCCUAAAAGAGGCCCCGGAAAUUUCAACGGUGGGCACAAAACAUCCCCUUUGCACGGAGAGGAAGAAGGGGAGAUAGAAAAGAGGAACAGCCAACACAAAUGAGAGGUGAAAAUAAAAGUAUAUUUUGUGUGUUUUUUUAAAAAGA
Rhinichthys klamathensis goyatoka is the source of this 486-nucleotide long non-coding RNA. RefSeq lists it as uncharacterized. The transcript has 3 exons. NCBI's taxonomy places the organism in Eukaryota, Metazoa, Chordata, Actinopteri, Cypriniformes, Leuciscidae. The record is from RefSeq and is a predicted model, not a curated record.